AGAUGCCAAUUCUGAUUCAUCUUCGGACUUCCCCUUUUGGGAUAGUCAUUUUUUCCCUACUUCCGCAUUGGGGGUUUGCUCGAGUUACUCACUGGACGGAUUCCACUCCGUUCUUCGUUGCAGAACUACGUUCCUCUCCCCUCUCCUUUCAGUCGAGUCACUUCGUACGUAGGGUACCGGGGGUAUCGUAGUGUACCGUAUGGUAGCACCUAGCUGUCUCUCAACCAUUUUUGACACCCAUCUGAUCAGUAAUCAUCGAAAACCUACAGGAUGAGAACGGCUUAGUUUCAUUUGAAACAUGGGAUUUCACACUGAUAAUAUCAAUGCAGCCUUUAC
Molecule: long non-coding RNA, 336 nt
Filed under: Capsicum annuum
Lineage: Eukaryota; Viridiplantae; Streptophyta; Magnoliopsida; Solanales; Solanaceae
Description: long non-coding RNA (CANN_LNC009488)
Source: RNAcentral